UAAGGCGCAUGCGCGACCUUAUAAGGGCCCCUGCACCUGUCGAUGAGGUUUCUGUGUCUCAUAGUCACACUAACCCUCAAUGACAGGAACUCAUCCACCCCUGCUCAGGCAGUCGUGGCUUUGGAAAUUAUUCCAGAUGAGAGUAUCCUUUGUGGAACCACUCCACCUGCUGUGUCUGGGACUCGCGUGGGUUGCAUUACAAAUCUGUGCCCGGCUGAGAGGACUGUUGGUCCUUCUGAGGUUGUGGUCCCUGGUCCCGAGUUUCCAAUGGAUGGAGCGGGGGGCGGCAGCAGCUCACCCGGCAGAGCCAGUUCAAGCCAGAGAUUCCAGAGGCAGCUCCCUCGGAGGGGACUCUCUUCUUGGUGCUUGCGACCGGGGGCCUGGCGUUCUGGCCUCAUCUGAAAUCCAGGGCCCGCUCUACUUUUACUCAAGAGGAUUUAUUUUGGGGUGGUAGAUACUCAACAAAUAUGGAAGAUUUUUUGCCUCCUGAAAUUAAGCCUCACCUGCAUGAACCUGGGGACUGGGUAGACAUCAAAACUUAGAAAACUGGGCCCAACCCAGAUCAACUAUUUUCUUUAUGGACAGGCUCUGCCUAGGGCUAUUAACUCCACACUCUUCCUUAAAAUAGACUCACAACUUGGAUGCACCGUACUAGAGUCAAAAAGCAUCUGCACCAGAGGCCCCAGAAGGAAGAAACGCCACCAGCACCAAAUGACAACAGAUACUCCUGCGAGCCACUCAUUAACGUGAAACUUGCAUUCUGGAGACAGAAUCAUAGCCCCCUCUACCUUGGUCUGAUUUUGAAAUGAACACUUUGUUGACGUUAGUCCUGGUCACUAGUAUCCUAGAGAUGCAAAAAGCCAUAAACACACUAGAGCAUGCUUGGGAAGUAAAUUCCCCAGUAAAUCUCAGUAGGGUCAUGGCAGAGGGACACAAACUGAAGACGGCUCUUCUUACUGAUUGAACCUUGCAUACAUAACUGUUGGGUAUCAUUUGGGUCCAUGAGCAUAGAGAUCAUCAAAUUACAAAUUACAAACGGGAGCAACACAAGCAGCGUGGGGGGAACCUGAUGACCCACAGACACACCUACCAGGGGAUAUAAUAUGCUCGUCUAUCACGUCCUAUGACNNNNNCAGGGAGCCUGCUUCCUCCUCUCUCUCUCUGCCUGCCUCUCUGCCUACCUGUGAUCUCUCUCUGUCAAAUAAAUAAAUAAAAUCUUAAAAAAAAAUAAAAUAA
Molecule: long non-coding RNA, 1236 nt
Filed under: Neogale vison (American mink)
Lineage: Eukaryota; Metazoa; Chordata; Mammalia; Carnivora; Mustelidae
Description: Neovison vison (American mink) lncRNA (ENSNVIG00000024914.1)
Source: RNAcentral